This is a long non-coding RNA of Pipra filicauda (Wire-tailed manakin), 780 nucleotides long. RefSeq lists it as uncharacterized. The transcript is spliced from 3 exons. The record is from RefSeq and is a predicted model, not a curated record. NCBI's taxonomy places the organism in Eukaryota, Metazoa, Chordata, Aves, Passeriformes, Pipridae.
UUCUUUUCUUUAAACAAAAUUCUCCUUCCCUAUUUUCCCCAGCUUUCCAGCGGCCUUUGAAGUGCUCCUGUUUAUAAACUUACUUGAUUUCGUCUUUCAUUGCAUCUCUUUUGUCUCUUAACCUAAUUUGUUUUAAAAUAAGACAUAGCCCAGCCCUCGCUGUGGUUGUAUUUACAGAGCAGCCAAAGGGCUCUAAAACAGGCUAAUUUCAGUGAAACGCCUUCUGUCCCUCCUCCAAACCAAGGCUGCCUUCAAGAGCUUUGCCUCUCAGGACCCUGUGUGCUCAGAGCCAGAGUGACCACGCAGGGCAUGUUUUAACCUGAAGCUUUUCAUCCGUGUCCUUAGUUGGGGUUGUUUCCAAACCGCGGCCGUUUACUCCUGGUUUGGUCCCCGGUACAGGAUGGCCGGGUUGUUGGGAAGGCGCCUGUCCGCUCGCUGGCUAUUGAAGACAAGAGCUCUCUCCCUGCUCGGGUCGCUCCUCAGGAUUCCUAAAGGUGUAACCGGCACCACCGGGAUGAGCCCCCGCGGACCCCCUGCCCCGAGGGCACCGGCCCUGCCCGGGGAUGCGGAGCCCCCUCCGAGGAGCCCCCGCACCCCCCGCACCGCGGCUCGGCCACCGCACAAACCACGCACCCGGAGCUUUCCGUCUUAUUUUGUUUUUCUUUCGUAAAAAUGUUUAUUUAAACUUUUUUUUUUUAAUUUUUUUUUCUCCUUUUACAACAAUAAAAUAUUGCGUCAAUAUAAACCCCUUGACUAAAACUGGUCGACAACCAAACGUUA